This is a long non-coding RNA of Daktulosphaira vitifoliae (grape phylloxera), 2905 nucleotides long. RefSeq lists it as uncharacterized. The record is from RefSeq and is a predicted model, not a curated record. The transcript is spliced from 3 exons. NCBI's taxonomy places the organism in Eukaryota, Metazoa, Arthropoda, Insecta, Hemiptera, Phylloxeridae.
AGUGUCGAAAAUUAUUUUGUUUUUAUGAUUACCAAUUAAUGGUUUUUCAUUACUGGAAUUAAUGUUCAAAAAGUUUUACAUUUUCUCACGAGGGUUAUUAUGUUUUACAAAAUGUGAUGAAAAUUACAAUAUUAUCGAACUUGCAAGUUUUAGUACCGAUUGAAGAUUGUUCUAUGUGAACUAUUAUCAUGUUUUAAUUAUAUUUUAGAAUUUGUAUUAGGAAUAUUUUUUUACAAAAAAUCAAAACUGAAUUAUUUUUAAGUGUUUUAUUAUGAAUUAUAAUUAAUGUAUAAUUAAUAAAAGGGUGGCAUUACUAACAUAAUUGCAUCAGGGAAGCAUUUUUAUUAAUGUAAUUAUUUAUAUUUUUUAGUUAAUUAAUUUUUUUGUUGAUUUUUUAUAAAAUAAUGAUUUUUAAAUUAAUAUACAUUAAAAAGAAAAAAUGCGAAUUAAAUAGAUGUAUUUCAUUUAUACUUACCUAAUAAUUAGUUAUUAAAAGGAGAAAUUAUUUCUUCUUUUUUUUUAUCUUGGCGUGAUACUGUCGAUAUGAGCAAGCGUGAAAUGAUUAAUCUAGUUAGACCUAAAAUGGCUUUUAUUUUAAAAAUAAAGUGUAAUUAAUGUUUCAUUAGUGAUAAUUAAAAUUUAUUUAUUGAACACAAAAUACUUUGACUUUCUUCUAUAUUAUUUGAUAUAUAUCACUAAUUUUAGUUAUAUAUAUAUAUGUUUUUUGACAACUCUUGAAUUUAUCUUUUGAUUGGUGCUAUGUUUUAUGACAGAUUAACUAUUUGUUCAUAACAUCUAAAUUUAAUUAGAGUAUUGAAUCAGAAUAAAAGUUACUCUUAAUAACUAUUAUAGUAUAAAUUUCAUAAAAUAAUUUUUAUGUCUUUAAAGCAUAAUGUUGUUGUCAACGUUUUAUGUUUUCAAUUAUUUAAUAAGGUAGUUAAUUGUGCUAAUAAACUCAUAUUAGUUGAAAGAUGGCGUGCUCAGUAAUACAAACAUUUGUCAAAUGUGCUUAUUUUUAAGUUUAAAUCAAGUUAGGAAAUAAUGAUAAUAUAACUAUUGAUGAGGAAAGUAUUUAAGAUAUUGUUUAAUUGAUGAUUUUUUUUUUUUGUAGAUUUUCAAGGUAAAUUUUUAUGUCCAAGAAAAUGCGGUAGGAGUUACAAAUGGAAAUGUAGUUUAAAAACACAUUUAAGAUACGAAUGCGGAGUUCCAAAACAAUUCAUGUGUUCGUUGUGUGAAAAGUUAUUUGCCCAUAAAAAACUACUUAGAGCUCAUUCAGCAGUUAUUCACAACAUUUUCCCUAAUUAAAUUUUUACAACUUAUAAGUAAAAAUUAUUUUACAAGAUAUUAUUUAAGUCUAUAUUUAAAAAUAAAUUGAUGUAUUAAGACUAAUAAAUGCAAAAAUUGUACACGUAUUUCUGUUUGUUAUUUUUACAUUUUUACAAACAAUUGUUUGAAGGAAUUGAUAAUACAAAAUUAAUUUUGUAACCAACUUUGUAUUUUAUGAAUAUUUGAAUUUUCGGAAUAAUUAAUCAUUUUUAAACUUAUAUAUCAUAUUUUAUAAUUAUGAUAUUCUUACAUAAUUGUUUAUUUAUCAAAAAUUUAUCAAUAUCUUACCUUCUUUAUUUAUUAAAGAAAUUUGUAUAAAAUAAUUUAACUGUAAUAAAUAGAAGAAAAGUUGGAGUUAUGUAAUUUAUUUAUUAACAUAAUAAUAAUAAACUCAUUAGAGUUCAAUUACAUGUGAAUUUUUUUUCAUAUUUAACUCAAUAAAUUAAACCAUCUUCAUCAUCGUCAUCUAUUAAAGGCUUUGCCUUGUCGUUGAAGCCACUCCUCUCUGUUGGACGAUCAAUUUUUCAUUGAAACAAAAGACACAUAGUUCAUGAGUUCACGGAUAUAUUCAAAGUAUUGUUUCCUUGGGCAUCUUCUGGUUUCUUCCCAGUUAUUUUUCUUUCGAAGAUGUCAAUAAUAAAAUCAUUGUGUCGGAUUUUGUGUUCGAUUAACUUAAUUUUUCUUGAUUCAAUCACCUUCAUCAGAUGGCUUUCUUCUCCUACUUCUUCUAGCACUGAUUCAAAUAUUUUCUUGUUUAUCCAUUUUGUCUUUUUCAUUUUUUCCAUAUCUAUAACUUUAAUGCUUCUAGUUUGCUUCUUGUCAAUUGUUCAUGUUUCACUACCAUAUGAAAGUACACUCCAGACAAAUGUUUUAACUAAACUUUUAUGUAUGCCAAUACUCAGAUGUUUAUUGGCGAGAAGCUGAUUUUUGUUCUGGAAUGUUUGUUUUGCCAAUGCUAUUCUCUUCUGAUGUCUGGUAUUGAUUUAUUGAACUAUUUUAAGGGCGGAUAAAAAUUAAGAAUUAUAUUUAAGAUUAUAAUGACUUUGAUUUAUAAAAAAAUAGUUAUUAAUAAAUUCUAAUAAUUAUUACUUUUACUCAGUUGAAUAAAAUUAAAAUGUAUGUUUACUAGGAUCAAAGGAAAUUCAGGAUGUUAAAUUUUGUGGACUAGAAAUCGUGGUCGAAGUUAUAAAAGAAAAGAUCAUUUAGAUGCUCAUUUGAAAUUUGAGUGUGGUGUGUCCAGAAUGUUUCAAUGUUCUUAUUGUCUUAAACUAUUUGAUUUGAUGGAAGAUAUUUUUGUCUAAAUAAUUGUGGAAAUAGUUAUGUCCAUAAAACUGACAUGUAUAGACAUUUAAGGUACAAGUGUGGUGUAAAACCAAGAUUUCAAUGUGUAGAUUGUAAUAAAUGUUUCGUUUACAAAAAAAAUUACUGUUAUCAUAUGGCAAAUCACCAUAAGAUAUUCGUUAUAUAAUAAUUGUUUUGAAUUAAGAGAUGGGCAUGUAAUAACUGCAAUCGAAGGUACAAAAACAAAUCCCAUUUACAACGUCACAUCAAGUAUGAAUGUGGGGUAUCUGCUAUGUUU